GCAGAACUUUCCCUCCAGCAGACGCUGCUCUCCGCACUAAAGGAUAAAGUCCAAGGUCCACCAGUGAAACCUAGUCACUGAUUUACCAAAGCCAAGACCGAUCCAUGCAGUCGAAUGUUUGUCCAAGUUUGGGCGUCCAUUUGAAUCAUUCCUCUCUCCUCCUGCCCAUCUAAGGAAUUGCAAGGCAAGCAUGGCAAGCGUGGCUUUCCAGUUGCCAAUUAAGAGUUAUUUGCUGACUUCGAAGUCUAAAUGAUUUAAGAGUUCAAAGCAUGAUUCAUGAGGUCUGUAUCCUAAUUCAACGACAGUGAAACAAAUGUAUUGCAGAUUCCCCAAAAAGUAAAAAACGUUCAUUUGAAAUGUGCAAUGUGUUUUGAGUCUAAGUUGUCAAGACUCGAGCGCUUGCACAGGUUUACACAGGGUCUGCGUAGGGCACAGGUUUACACAGGGUCUGCGUAGGGCACCAGGUAGUGAACUGGAAUGUGCCUUGGCCAUUGGAUCCCUUCCCUUUCUCGUGGUCGGGAGAGCCAGACAGUCAGGCACCACCCUUGUUUUGUGUGUGUGUGUGUGUGUGUGUGUGUGUGUGUGUGUGUGUGUGUGUGUGUGUGUGUGUGUGUUCAAGGUGUUUUCCCCUCUAGACAUGAAAAUGGCACUUUGGGGGAUAAAAAAAAAAGAAAAAAAAAAAAGAAACAUCCAUGAAAUCCAAGCCUGUUGUUUUCCCCGGGAAACAACCCUAAUUAUUCUAAUUGUAUGGAAUAAAUAUGUGCGUUUUGUCCAGAGUGUGAGUUGAGGUAUGAACUUUGUCCUUUUGUUGCUUACCAACACAUUUCUUCAUUUAAAUUCAGUUUUAUUUAUACAGCACCAAAACUAAAAAAGAUUUUUUUAUUUAUAUAAGAAAUGUAUUUGUCUCAAGGCCCAGAGCCCAGGGCCUGAACUUGAACUUAUUCAUCUUAUUCAACUUAUUCAACAAGUUAUAAUGAAGAGGUUAAGGUUUUCUUUGCUAGAUAC
Long non-coding RNA from Clupea harengus (Atlantic herring), 1005 nucleotides. NCBI's taxonomy places the organism in Eukaryota, Metazoa, Chordata, Actinopteri, Clupeiformes, Clupeidae. The record is from Ensembl.